GGCGAAGUGCCAGAGUGGUGAUUGGGUAUGACUCGAAUUCCACAGGUUCGGUUAUCAUAUGGCUUCGGCCGCGCAAGUUCGAAUCUUGUCUUCGUCG
This 97-nucleotide transfer RNA is filed under the name Colletotrichum orbiculare MAFF 240422. RNAcentral's name for it is "tRNA-Ser for anticodon CGA". It matches the Rfam family "tRNA". Rfam says of the family: Transfer RNA (tRNA) molecules are approximately 80 nucleotides in length. Their secondary structure includes four short double-helical elements and three loops (D, anti-codon, and T loops). Further hydrogen bonds mediate the characteristic L-shaped molecular structure. tRNAs have two regions of fundamental functional importance: the anti-codon, which is responsible for specific mRNA codon recognition, and the 3' end, to which the tRNAs corresponding amino acid is attached (by aminoacyl-tRNA synthetases). tRNAs cope with the degeneracy of the genetic code in two manners: having more than one tRNA (with a specific anti-codon) for a particular amino acid; and 'wobble' base-pairing, i.e. permitting non-standard base-pairing at the 3rd anti-codon position. Lineage: Eukaryota; Fungi; Ascomycota; Sordariomycetes; Glomerellales; Glomerellaceae. The record is from Rfam by way of RNAcentral.